CCCUUAGAUGUUCUGGGCUGCACGCGCGCUACACUGAUGCGUUCAACAAGUUGGACCUCGUCCGAGAGGAAAUCGGGGGAAUCUUUUGAAAACGUAUCGUGAUAGGGAUAGAUUAUUGUAAUUAUUAAUCUUCAACGAGGAAUUCCUAGUAAGCAUGAGUCAUCAGCUCGUGCUGAUUACGUCCCUGCCCUUUGUACACACCGCCCGUCGCUCCUACCGAAUGAGUGAUCCGGUGAAUUAACUAGAUUGUGGCGAGGGUAGUUUUCUGCUAUUGCUACGAAAAGGUUUGUGAACCUUAUCACUUAGAGGAAGGAGAAGUCGUAACA
This 326-nucleotide ribosomal RNA is filed under the name uncultured eukaryote. RNAcentral's name for it is "partial 18S ribosomal RNA". It matches the Rfam family "Eukaryotic small subunit ribosomal RNA", at positions 1470 to 1796 of the family's 1831-position model. The record is from RNAcentral.